UAGUUAUGUUCUUUAAACCUAAAGAAUUUGGCGGUGUUUUAAUCUAUUUAGAGGAACUUGCCCCUUAAUCGAUAAUCCUCGUUUUAUCUUGCUUUAUUAAUAAAGGUAUGUAUAUCGCUGUUAUAAGUUUAUUUUAUUAGGAUUAUAAUUUACUUUAUUUUUUAAUUUAAUUUAUUUCAAGUCAAGGUGCAGCUUAUAAUUAAGUGGAGGUGAGUUACAAUAUAUUUAUGUAAACGGAUUUAAAUUUUAAAAUUUUAUUGAAGGUGGAUUUAAUAGUAAUAUUGAUUAUAGAGUCAGUUUGAUUUUAGUUCUAAAAUAAGUACACAUCGCCCGAUCGCUCUA
Molecule: ribosomal RNA, 342 nt
Filed under: Lamachodes sp. 2 SB-2021
Lineage: Eukaryota; Metazoa; Arthropoda; Insecta; Phasmatodea; Lonchodidae
Description: partial small subunit ribosomal RNA
Source: RNAcentral